AGAGUGGCANACGGGUGAGUAACGCGUGGGAACAUACCCUUUUCUACGGAAUAGCUCUGGGAAACUGGAAUUAAUACCGUAUACGCCCUACGGGGGAAAGAUUUAUCGGGGAAGGAUUGGCCCGCGUUGGAUUAGCUAGUUGGUGGGGUAAAGGCCUACCAAGGCGACGAUCCAUAGCUGGUCUGAGAGGAUGAUCAGCCACAUUGGGACUGAGACACGGCCCAAACUCCUACGGGAGGCAGCAGUGGGGAAUAUUGGACAAUGGGCGCANGCCUGAUCCAGCCAUGCCGCGUGNGUGAUGAAGGCCUUAGGGUUGUAAAGCUCUUUCACCNANGAAGAUAAUGACGGUAGUCGGANAAGAAGCCCCGGCNAACUUCUUGCCNCACCGCGGUAAUACNAAGGGGGC
Molecule: ribosomal RNA, 406 nt
Filed under: Agrobacterium sp.
Lineage: Bacteria; Pseudomonadati; Pseudomonadota; Alphaproteobacteria; Hyphomicrobiales; Rhizobiaceae
Description: partial 16S ribosomal RNA
Rfam family: Bacterial small subunit ribosomal RNA
Source: RNAcentral